This 253-nucleotide ribosomal RNA is filed under the name uncultured bacterium. RNAcentral describes it as "partial 16S ribosomal RNA". It matches the Rfam family "Bacterial small subunit ribosomal RNA", at positions 524 to 776 of the family's 1533-position model. The record is from RNAcentral.
UACGUAGGGUGCAAGCGUUAAUCGGAAUUACUGGGCGUAAAGCGUGCGCAGGCGGCUUUGCAAGACAGAUGUGAAAUCCCCGGGCUCAACCUGGGAACUGCAUUUGUGACUGUAUAGCUAGAGUACGGUAGAGGGGGAUGGAAUUCCGCGUGUAGCAGUGAAAUGCGUAGAUAUGCGGAGGAACACCAAUGGCGAAGGCAAUCCCCUGGGCCUGUACUGACGCUCAUGCACGAAAGCGUGGGGAGCAAACAGG